Dendroctonus ponderosae (mountain pine beetle) is the source of this 1800-nucleotide long non-coding RNA. RefSeq lists it as uncharacterized. Lineage: Eukaryota; Metazoa; Arthropoda; Insecta; Coleoptera; Curculionidae. The transcript has 2 exons. The record is from RefSeq and is a predicted model, not a curated record.
UUUCCCAAAAAAUCAGUUGCUGCAAAUAUUUAGGAAACCAGCUUUAGGAAAUAGAUAUUCACUUACCUUUACAUUACUUUAAAAUUAGGUUGAAGCACGUUCAGACGGCGUAAAAAUGCUUCUCCUUCCACAAUGUAGGAAGGUAAUAAUUGCAAACAAACAACGCUAAAGCCUGCACUAUUUUGUUGUAUUUUAAACCUCCCUCCACAAUAGAUAUAUCUAUUAUAUUCGAUAAAGAAAACGUACUAGAAAUAAUUUAUUUUCCUUAUUGGCCGAAACUUGCAAAACUGCGUCUUCUAAAGUACUUUCUGGAGGUAUGUUACUAUCCGUACUAGCAUCAAAAAAACUUUUUCCUUCCAACAUAUUUUCUAAUUUAGAACAGCUAGAUGUUGAUGGCUGUGACAUGUGCUCAUUCCAACUCAAGUUCUUAAAUAGACUUCAUAAAAUAUCCUAUAUCUUCAUAAAUAUAUGUUCUGUGGGCAGUGUUUACACUUUUGAUAAUUCGAUUCGGUACCAAGUAUUUCGGUAUCGAAAUCAAAAGAAUGGAAUACCUACUUGUAUUUACUCGUAUCGAAUAAUCACUAUCUAAGAGGCGGUACUUCACGUAAGGGUGUCAUAACGCAUAUUGAUCUAAUUGAUCUAGUUGUUAUAUGGUACCAUAUUACAGUCAGGCUGGGUCAGUAAGGGUGACAUAACUCACGUUUAAUGACGUUUUUAUCAAUUUUCACUAUUUUUAAGUUCAGUUAAGGCGAUUGACAAUAGUCUUGGUUGUGACAGUGUUUACAGUUUUGAUAAUUUGAUUAUUUUCGACGAUGCGAUACUUCAAUUCGAUACGAGCACUUUAUUUCGAUACCAAGUAUUGGUAUCGAAAGAACGAUUUAAUUACCAAAGUACUCGGUAUCGAAGCAAAAGUAUCGAAUACCUACUUGUAUUUACUUGUAUCGAAUCAUCCCUAUCUGUUACUGAGCAUUAUUUGACUUUGAAUUUAAAUAAAAAAACCCUAAUAAAUAAAACACUGCAACAAAAUUAACGAUAAUUUGAACAUUUAAAGCGAGUUCCAGUAAAAUAUGAAAGCGGAUUUAUCGCUAAAGUAAAAAAGCAGUGCAUGCUGCUCAUCAGUACAGUGCAAGCUUUCGUGCAAACCACCUCUGAAGAUGCAAGCCACUCGUGCAAAAUCCCAAUUCGGGGCCCAAUUCUCGGGCCCCGGGCCCAAUUCUCGAAACUGGGAACGGCGAUCACAUGAGAAAGAAGGGCGUGGUUCUCUCGUGAAGCAAAUAUUGGUAUUCUUCAACGCGAUCGAGUGAUCCCAUCAGGCAACGGCAGUAGAACAAGCUUCUCUUGCCAAAUCUCGCGGGAACGCAUCGUUCACCGGUUUUAUAACCACACACUACAUGCUGUGCUCUGAUUUCGGUUCUAACUCGAAAUAAUGAAUUUCAUAAAUAAAACUUUACAGUGUUCAUAAAAUAAGGAGCAAUUUAAGAGAUUUUCUAACAGAGAGUAGAGCGGGUUUGUAUGGAAUUGUUCUCAACAAUCUUCAAGAUGCAGAAAAACAAGAAGAAAAUCCUCCACGGCAAUUUCAACAACCCAUGAACGCUAUGGAAAUAAAUGAAAUCAAGUUUGUCAAGCUUUUUAGGCUGAAUAAGCAGCUGGUGCUCCAAUUGAUAGAAAAGUUGACGCCCUAUCUUCAAGCAAUAUAGAAAUAUAUCUGAAAACAAUAUAGAAAUAGUAAUUGAGAAACCAGUUCAACAAUAAAUAGAUUUAAUUGAUCAUUAUAAGAAUAAAUGAAUGAAUACAGACAAA